GGGGAAUUUUGCGCAAUGGGCGAAAGCCUGACGCAGCAACGCCGCGUGUGUGAUGAAGGUCUUCGGAUUGUAAAGCACUUUCGACCGGGACGAAAACCCGUAGCCCAACACGCUACGGCUUGACGGUACCGGGAGAAGAAGCACCGGCUAACUCUGUG
This 158-nucleotide ribosomal RNA is filed under the name uncultured Myxococcus sp. RNAcentral describes it as "partial 16S ribosomal RNA". It matches the Rfam family "Bacterial small subunit ribosomal RNA", at positions 356 to 507 of the family's 1533-position model. Lineage: Bacteria; Pseudomonadati; Myxococcota; Myxococcia; Myxococcales; Myxococcaceae. The record is from RNAcentral.